This 467-nucleotide ribosomal RNA is filed under the name uncultured bacterium. RNAcentral's name for it is "partial 16S ribosomal RNA". It matches the Rfam family "Bacterial small subunit ribosomal RNA", at positions 29 to 507 of the family's 1533-position model. The record is from RNAcentral.
ACGAACGCUGGCGGCGUGCUUAACACAUGCCAGUCGAACGGAAAGGCCCUGCUUUUGUGGGGUGCUCGAGUGGCGAACGGGCGAGUAACACGUGAGUAACCUGCCCUUGACUUUGGGAUAACUUCAGGAAACUGGGGCUAAUACCGGAUAGGAGCUCCUGCUGCAUGGUGGGGGUUGGAAAGUUUCGGCGGUUGGGGAUGGACUCGCGGCUUAUCAGCUUGUUGGUGGGGUAGUGGCUUACCAAGGCUUUGACGGGUAGCCGGCCUGAGAGGGUGACCGGCCACAUUGGGACUGAGAUACGGCCCAGACUCCUACGGGAGGCAGCAGUGGGGAAUAUUGCACAAUGGGCGGAAGCCUGAUGCAGCAACGCCGCGUGCGGGAUGACGGCCUUCGGGUUGUAAACCGCUUUCGCCUGUGACGAAGCGUGAGUGACGGUAAUGGGUAAAGAAGCACCGGCUAACUACGUG